RNAcentral lists this long non-coding RNA (788 nucleotides) under Bos indicus x Bos taurus (hybrid cattle). Its description in RNAcentral is "lncRNA (ENSBIXG00000028766.1)". The record is from RNAcentral. Lineage: Eukaryota; Metazoa; Chordata; Mammalia; Artiodactyla; Bovidae.
GAAGAGCCCACGCUUAGUUGAAUGCUUUGCUGUCAUUGUCUUGAAAAUUUUCAGACUUUUUGAGCAUGGGGCCUGCAUUUUAUCUUGGCACUGGGCCCUACAAAUUGCCUAUCUGUUCCUCUGCAGCCUAGUUCUGAAGUAUCCUAUUGUGCCUGAAAUGCCCGGAUAAUAACCAGAGGAGACAUCGACCAACAUUGACUCCAUCUGAGCUGGGAUGCUGACACAGUGCCCAUGCUUUCUAGCCUACCACCAGAUUUAACUCAGAGGUCCUGAGCUAGAAGCUAAGCUAACCACCAAGAAGGGUGCCUCUGGUCAAGUAAGGAACUACCAACCAUUCUAAGACCUGUUGGGCGAGCUUAUCAGGUUCCCAAUUUCUCCAGAAAUGCCUGGCAGUUUCAAGGAUCGAGAUAAGCACAGCUGUAAUCUACCAUGAUCCAGAGCUUAUUCACAGAUCACAGCUGUGUAAUUUCAGUACUGCCAACCCCAGGAGGUGUGUGGACCUUCAUCAUCCUACCUUUGAACUUCCCCUUCAGGGACAGUCUCCUGACACGACCUGCAUAGAUCCAGCGAUGCCCAGCUGUGGGGCCUAUAAAUACCAGAUUUCAUUGCUGACACAAUUGCCCAUAUGUGGACAGAAUUUCAAGCCUUCUCAUUUUAGCUUUAUUCUAGCUUUCUCUUCCUGCUUUGGCAAGCCUGUUUAAGCAAGUACGCAGGACCAUGCAGACAGGUAUGGCUUUAACCUAAGAGUCUCCUUGUGCGUGUCUUCCCUUGAGUGGUACAAAUAUGCU